This 443-nucleotide ribosomal RNA is filed under the name uncultured bacterium. RNAcentral describes it as "partial 16S ribosomal RNA". It matches the Rfam family "Bacterial small subunit ribosomal RNA", at positions 338 to 795 of the family's 1533-position model. The record is from RNAcentral.
CCUACGGGAGGCAGCAGUGGGGAAUAUUGGGCAAUGGAGGCAACUCUGACCCAGCCACGCCGCGUGAAUGAUGAAGGUCCUCGGAUUGUAAAGUUCUUUUCUAAGGGAAGAAGAAAGUGACGGUACCUUAGGAAUAAGCCUCGGCUAACUACGUGCCACCAGCCGCGGUAAUGCGUAGGAGGCACGCGUUAUCCGGAAUGACUGGGCGUAAAGGGUGCGUAGGUGGUUUAACAAGUUAGUAGCGCAACUCCGGAGCUCAACUUCGGAAAUAUUACUAAAACUGGUGGACUUGAGUGCAGGAGGAGCAUUCGGAAUGCCUAGUGUAGCGGUGGAAUGCGUAGAUAUUAGGAGGAACACCAGUGGCGAAGGCAGAUUGCUAGACUUUAACUGACACUGAGGCACGAAAGCGUGGGGAGCAAACAGGAUUAGAUACCCGGGUAGUC